CAGCCGCCGCGGUAAUACGAAGGGUGCAAGCGUUACUCGGAAUUACUGGGCGUAAAGCGUGCGUAGGUGGUGGUUUAAGUCCGUUGUGAAAGCCCUGGGCUCAACCUGGGAAUUGCAGUGGAUACUGGGUCACUAGAGUGUGGUAGAGGAUAGUGGAAUUUCCGGUGUAGCAGUGAAAUGCGUAGAGAUCGGAAGGAACAUCUGUGGCGAAGGCGACUAUCUGGGCCAACACUGACGCUGAGGUGCGAAAGCGUGGGGAGCAAACAGGAUUAGAUACCCCAGUAGUCCCUGUCUCUUAUAC
RNAcentral lists this ribosomal RNA (301 nucleotides) under uncultured bacterium. RNAcentral's name for it is "partial 16S ribosomal RNA". It matches the Rfam family "Bacterial small subunit ribosomal RNA", at positions 509 to 807 of the family's 1533-position model. The record is from RNAcentral.